CACGCAGGCGGUCUGUCAAGUCGGAUGUGAAAUCCCCGGGCUCAACCUGGGAACUGCAUCCGAAACUGGCAGGCUAGAGUCUUGUAGAGGGGGGUAGAAUUCCAGGUGUAGCGGUGAAAUGCGUAGAGAUCUGGAGGAAUACCGGUGGCGAAGGCGGCCCCCUGGACAAAGACUGACGCUCAGGUGCGAAAGCGUGGGGAGCAAACAGGAUUAGAUACCCUGGUAG
RNAcentral lists this ribosomal RNA (226 nucleotides) under Citrobacter sp. TBCS-14. RNAcentral's name for it is "partial 16S ribosomal RNA". It matches the Rfam family "Bacterial small subunit ribosomal RNA", at positions 568 to 793 of the family's 1533-position model. Lineage: Bacteria; Pseudomonadati; Pseudomonadota; Gammaproteobacteria; Enterobacterales; Enterobacteriaceae. The record is from RNAcentral.